RNAcentral lists this long non-coding RNA (2221 nucleotides) under Marmota monax (woodchuck). The record is from RNAcentral. Lineage: Eukaryota; Metazoa; Chordata; Mammalia; Rodentia; Sciuridae.
AAGACCUUUCCUUGACUUCCAUUCAUACUCAAUUAUUACUAUUUAGGCUGAAUCUUAGCUACUACUCCAGUCAUGAAUUUUUUCUUUUGAGAAGUGUCUGUUAUGCUGCUUAUUCAUUUGUCCAUUUAUUAAUUGGGUUAUUGUUUUUUAGUGGGUUUUUUUUUGCUUUUCAGUAUUAAAUUUGAGUUUUUGUAUAUAUUCUGGAUAUUAAUCCUCUUAAUAGAAGAGGAGCUAGCAAAGGUUUUCUCUCAUUCUAUAAGUUGUCUACAUUCUUAAUUGUUUCCUUUGCUGUUCAGAAGCUUUGAUGCCAUCCCAUUUAUUAUCUCUUGGCAUUAUUUCCUGACCUUUAGAGGUCCUAUUGAGAAAGUUGAUGCCUAUACCUAUAUGUUGGAGUAUUGACCCUACGUUUUCUAGGAGUUACCUAGUUUCUGGUCUGAUUUCACAUGGGCAUAUACCUAGGAAAGGAAUUGCAAGGAUAUAUUAUACUUAAUUUUUUAAGGAAUGGCAAUUUUCAAAGCUAUGAAAGAUAUACUUUGUUAUUUACUUUAUGUGGUAUUUACAUUUUUAAGUUGCAUAUUACAUUUUUAAAGAAAAAGUCUUCAUAUUUUUACUUAAUAAUGCUGAGAUUAAGAAUUAGGAGAUUUUGCAAAAGAAAUUGAAACUGUAACAGGGUAAAAAUUUUAGCUUAAACCUAUCUCAUGAUCUGCCAGGUUUUUGUAGAAUUACUCAUAGAAGAUAUUAUGAACUAAUGUGACACAAAAAAAGGAAUAUGGUUAACCUUAUAAACUCUGUUUUAUCACUCUAAAUUAUCUCCAUAAUUUAUGUGAUUUUGUAAAUAAGGGUUUUCUUAUUUGCAUGAAGGCAAUAAAAAUAAUUAAUAUGAAUUUUUCUUUUGUUAUCUUCAGGGCCCUGAAAACAUAAGGAUGAAUGAAGAAUGGUUCCCAUCUUAAUACAAAAUUGGGAUAGCUUCAUUGCUGCUUAAGAGACUUUGAGGAUUUUUUUUUUUUUUUUUUGACCCUUUAUUUAAGACCUUUCCUUGACUUCCAUUCAUACUCAAUUAUUACUAUUUAGGCUGAAUCUUAGCUAAACUUCUGACUUUCAUGUAAGCAUAUUGUUUAUAGAGCAUUAGAAGACUCAUGUUUGUGAUGCCAACAUGUUAAUGAAGGCAGUCCCAUUUUGUGUGUGUGUAUGCGUGCGUGUGUGUGUAUGUGUGUGAAUAUUUAAGUGAUCAUAGAUUUGCAAGUGAUUUCAUUUUGUAAUUUGUAUGAUGAAAGGGUUUGAUCCUUUCUAGAGUUAAGAGAUUUUUUAUAGUUCUUUGUAACUAUUUAAAAGAUGGUUGCUAUUGCUUUUAAAAAAUAAUUGGAAUAAAAGUAUGAUUGGUUGGUGUAUAAAUAAAACAGAAAUAGUUUUAUACAAAGAUAUUUUAGUCCUUAAAGUAUGAAACUUAAUGAAUUUGUGUAAAAAUCUUUAUUUUUUAUUUUCUGCUUCAAAUUUUCAAUAAACAAGCUAAAAAGUAAUUUUCUCCUUUUGUUAAAAAGAUAAAGCUUUGUUUUUGUGUGUGUGGUGCUGGGGAUUGAUACUCAUGGCUUUGUGCUAAGCAAGCACUCUUCUGAGUUAUAGCCCCAGCUCCAAGGCUUUACUUUUGAUUUUAGAAAAGGUUUUCAUUAUCAUUCUGUGACAUAUGGAAGUAUGAUUUACUUGGAUAAGCUUUGUUUCUCAAGAAAAAAGAAAACAAUUUUCAGUUGAUAAAAUGAAUUAUUCAUAUUUCAUAUGCUUACUGGCAAUUCAAUUAGUAAUUGUAUUUAAAAAGGGCUACUUUUAUUUGUGAUGUGAAAAUUAACCUUCAUAAUGUUGUUAAUUCUAAUUGAAGUUUUCAGAGUUUUUGUUUUAAGAUGAAAUUCAAGCAAGCAGAGCAUUAUCAAAUAAAUAAAUAUUGGAAUAAUAAAGGGUGUUUGGGAAAUUGUUUGUUAAUGACAUUAAUGAUAUUAAUCAGAUAUUUCCUUAUAAUUUAUAAAAUUCAGAAAACUAAACAUAUAACUUAAUUUUGUUUCUCAGUAGUUUUUAUAUUAAGCAUUUUUGUUGUUUUCUAAUUUGAUCAUAAUAUAUCUUAUGGGUAUCCCAUUUACAAAAAUAUUCAUUGUACAACUUUGUUAGUAGAAAGUUAGGGAAGUUGGACUUUUGAGAAGAUAUAUUCUAGAUCAGAAAAAUUAAAAUGGAGAAG